Molecule: microRNA, 22 nt
Filed under: Anolis carolinensis (green anole)
Lineage: Eukaryota; Metazoa; Chordata; Lepidosauria; Squamata; Anolidae
Description: aca-miR-26-1-3p
Gene: aca-miR-26-1-3p
Source: miRBase by way of RNAcentral
CCUGUUCUUGAUUACUUGGCCU